RNAcentral lists this long non-coding RNA (1317 nucleotides) under Pan troglodytes (chimpanzee). Its description in RNAcentral is "lincRNA". Lineage: Eukaryota; Metazoa; Chordata; Mammalia; Primates; Hominidae. The record is from RNAcentral.
AGGCCUCCUCACUCUUUCCCUGGCCCAGGGUCAGCAGAAAGUGACGAAUGUCAGUGGCUUGUCGGUGGCCUCUGGGAGUCGGGGUCUCAGAGAAACACCUAGCCAAGGCCAGUGUUUCUGCAGGGGUGGGUCAACUGUACAGGGGGCCUGCGACAGCAAAUCACCAGCUUUCUCUGAAACACACACCCCUCUGCCUGCCUGUUCCUGAUUUCAUCAUCAGAGUGUGCUGCCCAGGACCAACUUGAGGGAUCGAAUGUCAUCACAGCUCUGACCCGCCCUUGUUAUAGGCAGCACGCCCGUCUUCUUCCAGUGACACCGUUUGCAUCCCAAGGACAGGACUACUCUCUGGACUUCUGCCCUCUUUUGUGCCAUGUGGAGUGCUCCUCAAUAAUGCUGGGUGACUCACUUGAGCGACCUUUAUGCCCUUUAAUGUGUCUGAUAUUUCCCUGCUCAGAGUCGCAUUCUGUGACUGGCCAGGCCAGCUCUUGGAAUUGUUAACGAUGACAUUUUUUCCUGUUUCAUCAAUGCACCAGGCGUCUUCUUAUUUCUGGAUGGGUUCCAUUCCUCAUGCUCAAAUCCCUUCUAUGAGGUUUUCACAGGGCUGGAUCAUUUCCAUCCAUUGGUCUUACUUGGUUCUGGUGUUGAACUUUCUCACAGGCACCUUCCAUGACUGCCUGUGUCACUUGAGGGCAGUAAUAGAAAAAUCAACUCAAACUGGCUUAAAUAGGAUGCAAAUCUAGUGGCUCACAUAUGUGGCAGCCCAGAGGCAGUGAGAGUUUCAGGACCAGGCAGCUUGAUUACAGCAUCAAGGGCCCCUGUGUUCUCUGUUUUUUGCAGCCAUAGUGUUGGCUUCUUCCCAAGACUUAUUUUUCCCAUCAGUGUCACCUGUGCUACAAGCUCCUUCAGUCACAUCUAUUUUUGAUAUUUGUGGGUACCUAGGAGGUGCAUAUAUUUGUGGGGUACAUGAGAUACUCUGACACAGAUGUGCAGUGUGCACGGAUCACAGGGAAAUGGGGCAGCCAUCCAUCCCUUCAAGCAUUCAUGAUUUCUUUGUGUUGUGGACAUUCCCGUUGUGCUCUCUUAGUUAUUCUGAAAUGUACAAGAAAUUAUUGCUGACUAUAGUCACCCUGUCAUGCUAUCAAAUGCUAGACCUCAUUCGUGGUAUCUAACUAUAUUUUGUACCCAUUAACCAUCCCCAUCUCCCACCCCCUACCUUUCCCACUACCCAUCCCAGCCUCUGGUAACCAUCCUUCGUCUAUCUCCACGAGUUCAAGUGAAUUAAUUUUUAGCUCCCACAAAUAAUAUAGAAUAUGUGAA